GCAAAGGCAGGGCCCAUGGGCCAUUAGGACACAUAGUUCUCAGGUGUUUUCAUUUCAUGGCCUGACUUCUUUGAAUUCAGAUUAAAUCCCACUUGACAUGACCCUCUGGGACUCCUCGUGGAAAGUGGAGUCAUGUGAUAUCAGGGAGGCUGCUAAAGCAGUGCCGAGCUUGGGAAUCCCAAGCCAGGAUUUAGAACUUUAAGGGAAGUCACUCAAGGGGGCAUCACAAUGCUGAACUGGGAACCUUUCAACAAUGCUUAAGGGAUAAGUGAUAAGACAGGGGCCUCCAGAAUGAGUGACUAGCCUCCCUUUACAGUCUCACCUGCUCAGCUCUGUGACUCCAAACUGCAGUGUUUUCUCUCUUCAGUGUUGAUGGCAUGGCUAGUGCUCAGUCAUCUGGUCACCACAACUCUACUGAGCCCCUCCCCUGGGUGCUGGACUGGCUCUAACACUGUGCGAACAGACAGAGGAAGGCUCAUGCUUGUGGAGCCAACGUUCUAAGUUGGGGAAGAGUCAAUGUAUGAAUUUUAAAAACAGUAAAACAAGAUCAUUUCAGAGAACGGAAGACAACAGCAAGCACGGGCCACCUGUGACCACGUGGACCCUAGGACCCAAGAGCAUGGCCCUGGAGCUGCCUGGCCCUACUGGCCUAGACUGGGCCUCGGCCACGCG
This 672-nucleotide long non-coding RNA is filed under the name Homo sapiens (human). RNAcentral describes it as "HSALNT0370203". The record is from RNAcentral. Lineage: Eukaryota; Metazoa; Chordata; Mammalia; Primates; Hominidae.